Gossypium arboreum is the source of this 5405-nucleotide long non-coding RNA. RefSeq lists it as uncharacterized. The transcript is spliced from 3 exons. The record is from RefSeq and is a predicted model, not a curated record. Lineage: Eukaryota; Viridiplantae; Streptophyta; Magnoliopsida; Malvales; Malvaceae.
CUUUGCCCCCAGCAAACUCCAAUGAUUAAACUCAUUGCUAAAAGGGCUAAAAUCGUGAAUCCAUAAAAUCUCCUGUUUUUUAACUGAAAAUAAUAAUAAUUUAUUUAAAAAAGUUCUUUAAAAAAAAGGGAACAGAGAGCGCGAGAGAGAAAGCGUACGGCAAUGGCGAGACUACAAUUAGAUUUGUUUUUUUCUUGGAAUUGUUUCUUUUUUGCAGUUCUUUUAUUCGUAUAAUACAUUGCGAAGUUUUUAUUUUCUCUUAAUUAGUUUAGAUCUGUUAGAUUUGUAUUUUCUUUCUGUCGAUUCUUUAUUUUUUUUAUGAGAGCAUGGAAAAUUUUUAGCGUUAUUAUUGAAAAAAAAAAAGGGGUAAAGACACUGGAGGCAGCGGUUCAUCGAUCUCUUCCUGAGAAUUUUGUUGUGAGAAUAACACAAAUACAUGAAUCGAUCGAUAAACCUCUGCAUCCAGCGCCUUAACUCUCUUUUAUUUUAUUUUUUUGAACUUUUUAAAAGUAUUUUUUUCCAUGAAGUUUUAUGUUAGUUAUUAACAAAAUCUGUUUUUGGUUGCAGAAAUUCUUUUUUUUUAAAACUAUAGAUCUUGAUAUAAUGAGUAAAUUUUAUUUUCCAUUACUUAAUUUUUAUUUUCCAUUACUUCUGUAUAUAUUACCUUUUAGAGUGUUCUUUUUCUUUGUUUUUUUUUUUAAAGAUUUUACUAAGACUGACUAUUAAUGGCGUAAUGUUUGGUGGCUGCAGUGAAGCGGAAGGGGCUACGUUAUCGUUUCCCAGUUGUCGACCCUACCUGGUUACUGAUUAUUUUUCAAAUAAAAGUUGCAAAUAUUUAAUCACUAUUUUUCCCCUCAAAUUUAUGCUAAAUUCAUUAUGCGUUGAUUUUUUUUAAUUGAAUAGUGGAUGAAUAAAUAUAGCCAAACUUGGUAUGAGAUUGAAAUCCAUUGGCUGCCUUUUGAUUUCCUCAUUAAUCGGUGAUUUAGUUCCAAAACUAAUUUUAUUGCCUAUUAACUUUUUAUUUUUCUUACUCAUUCGGAAAUCGGUAUUGUAGGUAAAUUCUCUAGCAAAUGUGAAAACCCGUCUUGGAUUUAUGAAUUCGACGAUCCGAGUUCGGGCAACAUAAAUUUUAAAUUGGGUUGGGGACGUUCUUAGUGAUUGUAUGGUAGGGAAAUUUGUCUAAUAAUGUUCUUGAUCUUGUGUUAGUUUUUGUAUAUAUAUUUUUUACAUUUGAAACACUUAUAACCAAAUUAUUUUUGUUGGUUAGUUACCAGAUUCAGAGUUACAUAUUAUUUUUUAUUUUCUUCUUGGAUUUGUGUAAGUAUCCAUAAUUGCUUUUGAGCUUGGUAUUUAUUGUUAAGGUUCUUUAGUAAGAAAGGGAUCGAUGGGGUUUCGCCUGGAUGUUUUUCCAUUUAUGGUAUAUUUAAUUGAAUGUGGAUUGUUUCGUUUGAUUGUUCAUUUUAGUUGCAUUCAUCAUGGUUUUACAGAUUAGCAAUGUUUAGAUCAUGAGCUGGUGUGCGCUGUUUUGGUAGUUCAUAAUGUUGUAAAAAUUCUGAUGAUAACUGAAAGUUUCGAUGACAUGAGAUUCUCCCGGUGGUCCAAACUCCAAACGCCGUAGUGGAACUUUACCGGAGAGUAAUAGGCAAUUAAUUUGCAGCCAUUUGUGUCAUUUUCCCUGAGCAUGAUGAAGUCAAAACCAAAAAAAGUUUGUUUCUUUGUAGAAAAUGUUAUCCGAUGAAAUGAAGUUACUAAGUGGGGGGACACAACUUCGUCAUUGCGGCGUGAAAGUGAGGGAAAACUACUGGUACAGCUAGCAAGUUGUAAAAGAAUCUGCUGUUUUCAUGUGAACAAAUGGAAUCUGGUAUCAAAAUCCUAUCUAUCAAGCCUAUAAUGGAAAUCAAAUCAAGUUAAAUUCCUUCCUUGGGCUUCUAGUUUUACCAAGUACCAACCAAAAAGGGUGGGUCUUGUUACUCGGAUUGUCAUGUGUUAGAUAUGGGCAUACGGCCGAGGUAAUUAUUACUCUUUUUUUUUUUUGGAGGGUUCUUAAGGCUUAUAUCUUCACACUGACAUAUUAGAAAAACGAAGUCUGAGUAACGUAAGUUAUGGGAGCGUGGGUAUGAGCUCCAAAAGAAAAGGAAAGAAUUCCAGAGGGAACAUAUGCAAGGUGAGUAUAUUCUUUCAUUGUUGUCUUAUCUUAUUCAUUGUUAGGUUGUAAUUUUUUUGCACCUGUUGUACUUGAUAUUCUAACGUCAUUCCAAUAGGAAAAAGAAAGGGAAUCCCUUUUCAUUUUGUCACUGAGAUUUGAUAUGUGCUUUGUGAUUUAUUCAUGGUUAGUUUAGGUGAAAAAAAACUUUUAAAAAGUGUUUUUAAAAAAUUAAUUAACGAUUAUCAUUGUAAUACAAAAAUGUUUUUGUGAAGAUGAAAUGAUUAUUUCAUAGAAAAUUAAAGGGAAUUAAAAAAUUAAUUUUAUUAAAAAGUAUUUUUUUUAAAAGUUAAAAAAAGUUAAAAAUUUUAACUUUUUGGCUGAGUUUAAAUCUUGGUUCAGGUUGGUUCAAAAAUCUUGGUUCAGGUUGGUUCAAAAAGUUACUUGUUAACUAUUAUUAUUAUUAUUAUUAUUAUUAUUAUUAUUAUUAUUAUAGAAAGCAUAAUUUGGGUUGAAAAGAAUGGUAAACAAAACAUUAGUAAAAUGUUGAAGUGUGCGGAUAUGGAUAUGGAUAUGGACAUUGAGUUUCAAAACUUAAAUUUAUUGGUCAAUUUUUAAGGUCGAUUAUAUAAAUAAAUUAUAUUAAGCUUAUAUAACAUGGCAAAAGGGCUCUCACUCGGCUCUUUUUUCUAGGUGCCAUUUGUUGAAGUUCUGAGUUUGGCUAUUUUUUAUCACCAAGGCCUAAUUUUAGGGCGCAAUUAUAUAGUCACCAUGUAAAAGAAAAUUUGCAGAAAUAUGUAAAAAUAUAAAGUGACUUUGUUUUUCUAGAAAUUACUGCUUAAGUAAUAUGUGCAUAUAAAAAUAAAAAUUAUUUGAUACAAAUAUGUUACAUGUUUUCAGGUGUAAUAAUAAAUUAUUUUUGAUUUUUACAUUUACAAAUUUAGAUACGAGAAACCGAACCACUAGAAUUUAGUUUUUUUUUUACACAAUAGUGAAGGUAGAAAGUGAGACAACACAGCUUAAAUUUGUAUAAAAUAGAUAUUUAAAAAGAAUUUUAACUACCUUUCAAAACACACUAAAAUUUAGUGUUAAUAUACAACCAUUUGUAGUUUUAAAUUUUAUUCGUGGAAUUAAAAGUCUUUACCAUUAUCAAAACAACAAAUUUUACUGUUUUUAAGAUUAUUUGGGUUUGGUUUGAUUUCAUCAUUAUCCGUUUUGAGUUAUUGAAUAAAUUGGUUUUGUAUAUAUAAAAUUUAGUUCAAAUAUUUCACGAGUUUAAUCUGAUUUUUUUUAACAUUUAUGUUCGUUAUUUUUAAUUACUGUUAGAAAGGGUUUCGAUUUCAAUUACUGUUGGAUUUUAAGCUUUAAAUUACAAAAUUUAAUUAUAUGAGUUGCACUAGGUUUAAUAGAGAUGAGAAUAAUGAAAGGGUAGCAGGAAUUUCAAUAUGGGUAAUGAUGGCUACGUUGUCGUGACUUGAUAGGGACCCACCUCGCUAUGAAAAUGACUGCCUUGGCAUUAGUUUUGUAACUAUAUAUCAUCUAAUAGCUUCAUUUUUAAUAAUAAAAAAUUGCUUUUGUUUUAUUCAAAAAUUCUUUUAUAACCAUUGAGAUUCGAUAUGGCUAGCCAAAAAAAGAAAAGCAUGGUCCUACCCACUUUUACCUUCACCCCUGCUGCCAUUAACCUAUUGAAAUUAAAAUCAUUAUACCAUUAAUAUUGAAGUAAGGUAGUCAUCACCCUUCUUAUGGAUGUAUUGAUUUUUUUAUUAGUAAUAAUACAUAUUGAUAUUGGUAUGUAUUAAUAUAUCACUUUAGGUCAAUUAUUUUUACAAAUUGAUUUUAUUUUUAAAAAAUUGAUAUAUGUAUAUAAAAAUAUGGAGUAUGUCUCGCAUUUCAGACAAAAUAGGAAGUGGCAUCUCGAUGAGAUAAAACUUGAUGUCACGACAAGCAGCCAACGUCACAACGAGAAGAAAGUCUUUAUCCCAAUGACACUUUCUCGUCACGACGACAUGAAUCCACGUCAUGAUAUAGCGACGUGUUCUUCAAGUUUUUGAGGUUUCUUCUUUCAGUUAAACUCUGUUUUGGUUUCCUACUUAAACUCUGAUUAACCUAAGAAUAUUCUAAACAUAAAAGCUAUGAAUUCCAAUCUAUAAACAAACCUUAGGUACCCUAGGUUUAAAGAACAGAAAAUAACACAAUUGAGAGAGAAUUCUGUGAUUCAGUUUGAAAGGUUUUCUUUCGGGUUUUUGGGGUUUCAGAUUUUCUUUGUUUUGACUCUUUCCAUCUUGUAGUUUUCUCUUAUUAGUGAAAUCUCCUUUUUCCUGUGGUUUUAUAUUCUCUUCAGAGAAGUUUUUCCACGUAAAAUAUUGUGUGUUUGAUCUUUUCAAUUUAUUUGUUAUAAUUCUUGUUCGUUGCUUACACGUGUUUAUCCCCAACAAAUUAGUAUCAAAGCUUGGUUCGAUUUUCGCAUUCAACCCAUCCAAAGAUGGAAGCGACAAGAUUCGACAUUGGGAAGUUCGAUAGAAUCGCAAAUUUUUGUUUGUGGCAAGUUCGUAUGACAACAAUACUAGUCCAGAACGAUCUAAAAAAAGCCGUUACAAGGAAGAAACCCACGGAUGCAGACAAGUUAAAUGCAGAGCUUGAUGAAAAAUCUCUAUAUACAAUUCAACUAUGCCUUACCAAUAAUGUGUUACAGGAGGUAUUGUUAGAGAAAAUAGCAUCCACACUAUGGAGAAAACUGAAAGCCUUAUACAUGACGAAAUCUCUGGCCAACAAGUUUGUGUUAAAACAUCUCUACACGUUCAUGAUGGUCGAAGCUUUCAAGGAUACCCUGAUUAAUGGAAGAGACAAUCUCUCGUUCGAGGGCAUGAAGGGAAAUCUACUAACCAACAAACUCGAUAACGUGUUAGGCCCAAAUAAAAAGUCAGACAGACAAGCCUCAAUUCUAGUUGCAAGGGGUAGAAAAUAAUCCAGCAAGUUAAACCAAAGUAGGUCUAGGGCAAGAUUAAAAUUGAGGAACCGCGACAAACAAUGUGGCUAUUACAAGAAGAUGAGGCACAUUAAAGAAAAAUGUUACAUACUUCAGAAUAAAAACAAGAGAGAUGUAACAACCCGUUUUUAGUAGUGUCAGAAACAGUGAUUUUGGGACCACAAAUCCAAUGUGUGAGCUCGUAAAUAUUAUUUAGUUGAUAUUUACGAAGUUAUUAAGUGUCGUAUUAAGAUUAGUCCGGUAAUUUUAACGUAUGGUUAGUUAAAUAAGGAAAUA